Molecule: long non-coding RNA, 260 nt
Filed under: Elaeis guineensis (African oil palm)
Lineage: Eukaryota; Viridiplantae; Streptophyta; Magnoliopsida; Arecales; Arecaceae
Description: long non-coding RNA (EGUI_LNC082815)
Source: RNAcentral
AGUUCAGUAUUGCAUCUUUUCCAAGCUGCUCAUGCAAGGGAAAGCCGAGCUUGCUCAAUCGUUCCAUCAGCUCGAUCAUGUACAAUACAUGAUCAGUGACAGAGGCACCAUCCUGCAUUUUGACGUUGAAGAUGGCACAACUAGUCUUGUGCCUCUUCACAUCAUCGGGUGUGCCAAAGGCAUCCUUCAAUACUUGAAGCAUGUCCUUUGGCUGAGCCGUUUGAAUCUGCGACUGAACUCGUCGCUUAUGGCAGCCAGCA